UACAGGGGGGGCAAGCGUUGUUCGGAAUUACUGGGCGUAAAGGGCCAGUAGGCGGCCAACUAAGUCCGACGUGAAAUCCCCAGGCUUAACCUGGGAACUGCGUCGGAUACUGGAUGGCUUGAAUUCGGGAGAGGGAUGCAGAAUUCCAGGUGUAGCGGUGAAAUGCGCAGAUAUCGGGAAGAACACCCGUGGCGAAGGCGGCUCUCUGGAACGCAACUGACGCUGAGACGCGAAAGCGUGGGGAGCAAACAGG
This 253-nucleotide ribosomal RNA is filed under the name uncultured bacterium. Its description in RNAcentral is "partial 16S ribosomal RNA". It matches the Rfam family "Bacterial small subunit ribosomal RNA", at positions 524 to 776 of the family's 1533-position model. The record is from RNAcentral.